GGAACCUGGCGGCGUGCUAAUACAUGCAGUCGAGCGGAGUUUUAAUUGGUGCUUGCACCGAUUAAACUUAGCGGCGGACGGGUGAGUAACACGUGGGUAACCUACCCUAUAGACUGGGAUAACUUCGGGAAACGAGGCUAAUACCGGAUAAUACUUGAAACCACAUGGUUUCUUGUUAAAAGAUGGUUCUGCUAUCACUAUAGGAUGGACCCGCGGCGCAUUAGCUAGUUGGUGAGGUAACGGCUCACCAAGGCGACGAUGCGUAGCCGACCUGAGAGGGUGAUCGGCCACACUGGGACUGAGACACGGCCCAGACUCCUACGGGAGGCAGCAGUAGGGAAUCUUCCACAAUGGACGAAAGUCUGAUGGAGCAACGCCGCGUGAGUGAUGAAGGAUUUCGGUUCGUAAAACUCUGUUGCGAGGGAAGAACAAGUAGCGUAGUAACUGGCGCUACCUUGACGGUACCUCGUUAGAAAGCCACGGCUAACUACGUGCCAGCAGCCGCGGUA
RNAcentral lists this ribosomal RNA (509 nucleotides) under uncultured Bacillus sp. RNAcentral's name for it is "bacterial SSU rRNA". It matches the Rfam family "Bacterial small subunit ribosomal RNA", at positions 36 to 522 of the family's 1533-position model. Lineage: Bacteria; Bacillati; Bacillota; Bacilli; Caryophanales; Bacillaceae. The record is from RNAcentral.